GCCGAUCUGGUCUAAGGUAUGAUACCAGCUUGUUACGCGGGUGAUGCGGGUUCGACCCUCGCGAUCGGCA
Non-coding RNA from Zasmidium cellare ATCC 36951, 70 nucleotides. The record is from the annotation of a RefSeq genome assembly. Lineage: Eukaryota; Fungi; Ascomycota; Dothideomycetes; Mycosphaerellales; Mycosphaerellaceae.